GACGAACGCUGGCGGCGUGCUUAACACAUGCAAGUCGAACGGAAAGGCCCUGCUUUUGUGGGGUGCUCGAGUGGCGAACGGGUGAGUAACACGUGAGUAACCUGCCCUUGACUUUGGGAUAACUUCAGGAAACUGGGGCUAAUACCGGAUAGGAGCUCCUGCUGCAUGGUGGGGGUUGGAAAGUUUCGGCGGUUGGGGAUGGACUCGCGGCUUAUCAGCUUGUUGGUGGGGUAGUGGCUUACCAAGGCUUUGACGGGUAGCCGGCCUGAGAGGGUGACCGGCCACAUUGGGACUGAGAUACGGCCCAGACUCCUACGGGAGGCAGCAGUGGGGAAUAUUGUCCAAUGGGCGGAAGCCUGAUGCAGCAACGCCGCGUGCGGGAUGACGGCCUUCGGGUUGUAAACCGCUUUCGCCUGUGACGAAGCGUGAGUGACGGUAAUGGGUAAAGAAGCACCGGCUAACUACGUG
RNAcentral lists this ribosomal RNA (468 nucleotides) under uncultured bacterium. RNAcentral describes it as "partial 16S ribosomal RNA". It matches the Rfam family "Bacterial small subunit ribosomal RNA", at positions 28 to 507 of the family's 1533-position model. The record is from RNAcentral.